Dicentrarchus labrax (European seabass) is the source of this 676-nucleotide long non-coding RNA. RefSeq lists it as uncharacterized. NCBI's taxonomy places the organism in Eukaryota, Metazoa, Chordata, Actinopteri, Moronidae. The transcript is spliced from 4 exons. The record is from RefSeq and is a predicted model, not a curated record.
GUUGAACACCACGUUAAGCACUGCAUUCUCAGAAAAUCAGCACUGACUCUAGAGCACAGCCAAAAUGCCCGGAACAAAAGGUAAUAAGUCGGACAAGAAGUCAGCUACCAAGCAACCUCAGAGUCCUAAAGAGCAGCCGAAGAAAGCUGAUCAGAAAGGAGAUGAUAACAAGAAGCAAGGAGGACAGCCGAAGGGAGAGAAGCAAUAACUUCCAGGCAUUUGUGAAGAUGGCUUUGGAGACACUGCUGGGGUCCUGCCGCCGUAAACAUGGGGGCCCCCGGGGCAAACAGGGCUGAGUGCGCCACACUUUCCCCCUGAGCCUUCAGACUGGGCUGUUGUGCGGCCAGUUCCGAUACAGCAUCUGCUCACCUCCCACAGAGGCAGAAAGUGAACCUGAUCUCCAUCCAUCACCAUCUGUUGUUCAACCUCUGUUCCUCCCCCCCUCCCCCACUCUCUAACCCUUACCUGUCCCCUUCCCCACACUGUCCGCUUUGGGUUAUUGGAUGCUCAGAUAUAAACUCCAAGUUAAACCAGGACCGCUGCUGAGCUAAAAAAAAAAAAAAAAAGUUUGUCACCCCUUUCAAAUCCUUCCCUAACUCACCUUCAUAGACUGUCUAACAGUCCAAACACUCUUCUUGUAAAUAAUCAUUGAAAUAAACAGCUAUUUCUUACAGCA